GGCACCCUGGGGUCUGGGAGGAGGAAGAAAAGGGUCCUGGAUGACGGAGGAAUCCUGCGUGGUGCUGACGCGGAGGAAUUGGCCGCAAGGUCACUUCCUGCAAGGUGCUGCGGCCCCACAGCCUCAGUCAGCGAAGAAGCAGCAGAGGAAGAGAUUGCACCGCUGGGCUCUCCAUGGGGAGCAGUUCUCGUGCUGGAAGAUGUGGUGAGGCUCUGUGAGAGGACGUGACGUGGCUCGUGGACUCCAGCUGACCCUCGUCCCACCUGCUGUCCACCUGCACCCGACCUGGGGAGGGCCUAGUGGUGGCCGCCAUGGUGGACCCACUUGGGGCUGGCUGGGUUCCAGGUGGAGUUGGUGCCGCCCCCAGAGUUCCUGGACUUUGAGCCUCACUGGAGGAGUUCACAGACCCACUAGACUUCACCAGCACCAUGCAACCUGUGACCAAGAACACGGACAUCUACAAGUGGGCAGCUUAUAUCGUGGAAAGAAACCUCGAAGGCCUAAAGAAAGAAAACACUUGUGAUGGGCAAAAGGAUGCCUCUCUGCACGUGGGACCUGAAGUGGCAGUAUGUCACAUACCAGUCUCCUUCAUGCCCCCUUAGAGCCCAGGCUGAAGAGAAACUCAUA
Molecule: long non-coding RNA, 627 nt
Organism: Ochotona curzoniae (black-lipped pika)
Lineage: Eukaryota; Metazoa; Chordata; Mammalia; Lagomorpha; Ochotonidae
Exons: 3
Source: RefSeq, a predicted model, not a curated record